AGGACGAACGCUGGCGGCGUGCUUAACACAUGCAAGUCGAACGAGGCCCUACCUUCGGGUAGGUGACCUAGUGGCGAACGGGUGAGUAACACGUGGGCAACCUACCCUCAGCUCUGGGAUAACCCCGGGAAACCGGAGCUAAUACCGGAUAUGACCUGGAACGACAUCGUUCUUGGUGGAAAGUUUUUCGGCUGAGGAUGGGCCCGCGGCCUAUCAGCUUGUUGGUGGGGUAAUGGCCCACCAAGGCGACGACGGGUA
Molecule: ribosomal RNA, 258 nt
Filed under: uncultured bacterium
Lineage: Bacteria
Description: partial small subunit ribosomal RNA
Rfam family: Bacterial small subunit ribosomal RNA
Source: RNAcentral